UACGAAAGGGGGGCUAGCGUUGCUCGGAAUCACUGGGCGUAAAGGGUGCGUAGGCGGGUCUUUAAGUCAGGGGGUGAAAUCCUGGAGCUCAACUCCAGAACUGCCUUUUGAUACUGAAGAUCUUGAGUUCGGGGAGAGGUGAGUGGAACUGCGAGUGUAGAGGUGAAAUUCGUAGAUAUUCGCAAGAACACCAGUGGCGAAGGCGGCUCACUGGCCCGAUACUGACGCUGAGGCACGGAAAGCGUGGGGAGCAAACAGG
This 259-nucleotide ribosomal RNA is filed under the name uncultured bacterium. RNAcentral describes it as "partial 16S ribosomal RNA". It matches the Rfam family "Bacterial small subunit ribosomal RNA", at positions 522 to 776 of the family's 1533-position model. The record is from RNAcentral.